This is a long non-coding RNA of Felis catus (domestic cat), 3297 nucleotides long. RefSeq lists it as uncharacterized. The record is from RefSeq and is a predicted model, not a curated record. The transcript has 3 exons. NCBI's taxonomy places the organism in Eukaryota, Metazoa, Chordata, Mammalia, Carnivora, Felidae.
GUAUAUGGCUGUUGUAGCAGGUACAUUGUAAAGAAGCAUGAUUGUUUCUAGAAAUGCAAAAACAGGUGGCAAAAUUGUAAAACAUGUGGACAUUCCAAAGAAUAUUUGAUGAUGUUUUUAAAAGCCUUCAAGCUACAAGCCCUGGAUCCCUAAGAAUUGCUCACUGAAGCAAAAAACAUGGCAAGAUGUUGGGGAUCAAAGCUGAGUGAAGAGCAGACCUACAAAGCCUUGGUGGAAUAAUUCUUGAAAACAUGGCUGAUGAGGGAAGAAAAAGCAAAGAGUUGGAACUUUGGGAUCAAACCAUCCUAGGUGUCUAAUACAAGGUAAAUGAAAUGGUAAAGUAAAGUAUGUCUUUUUGUACUUAUUACAUACAUGAUUAAUUCAAUUUGAAUACACAAACACGUAAGGAUUCAAAAAAGUGAAUAGGCACAAGGGAAGAAUCUGGAAAGCAUACAAACAGCUAACAGUGUCUAACUUUCUAGAGUGAUGUUUCCAAUGGCUUGCCUUCAACUUUUAAUUUUAUACUUGUCUGAAAUUUCUAAAUGUUGAAAGUGAGAAAAGCUUACAUUCAAGAUUAUUUUUCUUAAAAAUCAAGAAACCAACAUAUACCAAUCUGUGGUUAAGAAAAGGGUAUAUCAAAAGAUGUAUUUUUCUUCUAAAAAUGUGCCCAAGUCUAUGUACAUGCAAGACUUAAAGGCCUCGGACUUAAUUUUUAUGAAAAUGUAAUAUUUCCAAAUUCUGCUUGUCAGAAAAUCCAGUUUUCUAAAGCAUAUUUGAUGUCAUAUGAAGAGGCUUAUGUGGUGUAAGACCUGAGAAAACAAUAAUAGAAGGAAGCAACUUGAAUGGCAAGGAUAUUCUAUGUGUAUCACCAAGUCCAAAGCCAUACCAACCGAUCCCGACAGCCUGCACACAUGUGCCCACACAUACACAAGUAUGUAAUAAAUGUAACAUAAAGGAGCAGAAUGCAAUAGGUCCAACAUUAGUGGCAUAUUUAUUGAGUCCCUGUGAAUUAAGAGUAUCAUUUUUUUUGCUCAAUUUACUGAUUCUUUUCCAGAUGCAAGUUAUUCUUACCAACAAUGAAGGAAUAUUAUGUGAUUUAACCAAAAAAAAAAAAUUAUCAGGUUGCUCAUUAAUAGUAAAUGCUGUUGGCAAGUACCCACUGUCCAAUGUUGAAUCAAAAACUCAUGACACCAAACUCCAUGUACAGUUUGAUGAGGAUGGCUGUUUAGAGUGUGUGUGUGAGUAUGUGUGUGUCGCAUUGUGCUGAGGAAUAUGGGGAUAUAAUGAUGAGAUGUAGACUAAAUCUAUUUAGCUCUUGGGAAUAAUUGUAUAUCACUUGUAAUAUUUAAACCAAUGUACUCAUCAGGCUUCUUUAAUAGUGGUUCCCUUGGGAAAGAGGGAUAUGGGAUAAAGUGUUUCCAUUUGUUCUUGACAGAUUGUGUAUUCUAAGAGAUUUUUCGAGAAUCCUCUAAUAUAUUUGUCAUUUGAGAGCCAAUCGGGACAAAUAUGUGCAGAAGAAGUUAUUGAUGUAAACCGGAUUUGUUGGCCAUUUGAGACCUAAUGUGUUUAUAUCUCUAACUGAUCACAGAAAAGAGGAUUCAGGACACCCUGUUUUGGAAAUCCUUGUGUGCUUGAGUGGGCAUUACUUGUGACUUCAGUGCACUUUAUGUAUGGCUAAUGUAUCUGGUAAUUUUGUAAGCAGGAAUGCUUAAUUCUAAGAAAUGCAUAAAAGAUGAGAGGCAACAUUAGAAAUUGGAAGUAUUCCAAGGAAUAUUUAAUGAUGUUUGCAAAGAACUCCAAACUAUAAUCGGUGAAGGAAGUGAUGUUUGAACAUUUGAGGUACGAGGGAACUAGGAUUUUAGGUUGAAAAAUACAUGAGCAAGAUGGGAGAAUGUAUAGCAUUAUAAGUUAUUUAGUUUUGAUUGGUACCAUUUAUUUUUGGCUUCAUAAUUUCUCAAAAUGUUAACAGGUUGCCAUCAUCAGGUGUCACUCUUAAUUCCUUGGGAGACCUCUUUCUAGAAUAAAAUGUAAAGAAAUUUCAAGCUGGGGAAAAUAUAUGUUGAUGUGGGACCAUGCAGUUUAUAUUAGGUUAUGCAGAAGAUUUGUGCAAAAUUGCACCCAAUAGAAGUCAAAUUAUAAUUAAGGAGAAAUGUGUGUGUGUGUAUGUGUGUGUGUGUGUGUAUAAAAUAAUGAGGCAAUAAGCAUUUUUUAUAAUGCAUUUACUAAACUGAAGACUUGAAAGUUUAUAUAAUAGUCUCAAAAUGCCCAGGAAUCAGGAGGAAAAAUUUCUUAUGUAAACCAUAAUGUAACAUCCAAUUUUAAUAUAAAUUUAUUGUGUAUGAAUGUAAAUAUAGAAGUCUGUGUAUUGGGAGGAGUGGAAAGACAUAAUCCAAAAGGUUAUCAGUGGUCAUAACAAGUUUUAUGGCAGUACUUUACCCUUGAUCAGCACAUGGUUAUUUUUGAAUCCUUGGCAAACAUAGUUACUGAGGAAAAUGGUUUUAAGACUGACCUCUUGAGAGAUAAAUGGUAAUACGUAUACACUUACACCCUCAUCAGUAAAGUCCUAGGAGAGCAAUUGAAGGCCAUUUAGUGACACGGGAAAGUGCUUGUGUUCCAAAUGGUAAAUGAAAGCAUGAGACAAAAUUCUGAGUAACCUCUGAUUGGAAUAUAUAUAUAUAUUAUGCGGGGCACUGGAUGGCAUACAGCAAUGAGAGUAGUGUGGGCCCUCCUCUUAAGGCCCCAGUCAAAUGGCUGCCAACCAUUCAACACAUGCCUUCAUCUUUACCCAGAAAAUGGAGACAUUCCUGAGAUCAUUAGAGAUGAGCCAGGCAAGGAAACAUGGAUUGAUACCUAGAGAGACCCUCCUAGUUGAAUUUCCAGCAUUUUCUUUUUCUGUUUAGGCCAGGAUCCGUGAGAACUGCCCCCAGAACUAGACAGAAUUGACCUCGGGGAAAAUGCUGUAGAUGUAAUGCUGAGUGAACCAGAACAAAACUAUGAAGACUGGGCCUAGUGGAAAUUGAAUUCUUAAAGGAGAAGGUGCCUGAUAAAGGUGGUUACUUCUGGACCUCAGUUUGAUUUCUGAUGAAAGCCAAAGCUAAAGUGCCUCAGUGUGAGCAGGUUUUCUUAAACUGGGCAAGAUACAAGGUAACCGUAUUUUCUGGCCCCUUCGCCUCUUUUUUUUCCAGACGGGAUGGGCGGGAGAAGAGGGCCUGGGGGAAGGGUACCGAAUAUUUGUUGGCAAAACUAGUGCACUACUGCCAUCCUGAGGAAAUCAUUUAAAAACAACUUACGCCGUUU